This 703-nucleotide ribosomal RNA is filed under the name Candidatus Woesebacteria bacterium. Its description in RNAcentral is "partial 23S ribosomal RNA". It matches the Rfam family "Bacterial large subunit ribosomal RNA", at positions 1 to 707 of the family's 2925-position model. Lineage: Bacteria; Candidatus Woeseibacteriota. The record is from RNAcentral.
AAAUAUGUGAAUUAAUGCAAAUAGUGGAUGCCUAUGGCUUGUUUAGGCCGAUGAAGGACGCACUAGGCCGCGAAAGUCGUCGGGGAGCUGCCAAGAAGCUUUGAUCCGGCGGUGUCCGAAUAGAGAAAUCUCCCUUUGUGAAAGCGAAGGGACCCCGCCUUUUUGGCGGGGGGGUAAGUCGGGGAACUGAAAUAUCUAAGUACCCGGAGGAAAAUAAAUCGAAUGAGAUUCCCUUAGUAAGCGACGAGCGAACAGGGAUCAGCCCAAACCCGGCUUUUGCCGGGGGUUGUAGGACCUCAAUAUUCCGAGAGAGUCGAUAGAAGAAUGCUUUGGAAUAAGCAACCAAAGAAAGUGAAAGUCUUGUAUUUUAAAUCGUCAAUCAAGGAUAGAGUGUUCCUGAGUAGGUUGGGAGACGGCAAACUCCCUUCUGAAGCAGGGGUGACCACACUCCAAGGCUAAAUACCAAACAAGACCGAUAGUGAACGAGUACCGCGAGGGAAAGGUGAAAAGAAGGGUGGAAGACCCAGUGAAAUAGAUCCUGAAACUAUUUGCUAACAAUCAGAGAGAGCUCCGCAUUUAUGCGGGGUGAUCUCGUGCCUAUUGAAGAAUGAGCCGGCGAGUUUUUUCGCACAUGCAAAGCUUAAGCCACUUCGUGGUGGAGGCGCAGGGAAACCGAGUCUGAAUAGGGCGAUAUCCGUUGAGA